GGGGGUGUUUUGGUUUUGACAGCGCCGGUGUCGGACGGUAAGCACGCCGGGCGUCGGAAGCUAGCCCGUUAAUCUCAGAUUCCGAAAAAUCAGUUGCCAACAACAACUAUGCACUCGCUGCUUAAUUAGCCCAAGGCAAUUAGCUUAAUCCGCGACGCCAAGGCUGCGCCGCCGACGAGUAUCCCUCGGCCCUUCCGCCUCUUAAGGGCCCCCAAAGGGGUAUCAUCCAUUUGAGGCUGCUCCGGUCCACGCCUUUACAGCCGGCUAAGACAUAAAGGCUAAGCGGCAGUUCGCCCGCCUUCCGGCAGGCUGCCGUCUAAAACCAAAGGACGGAUAAGCGUGUAGAAAGCCGCCGGGCGCGACGUUUGGACAGCGGUUCGAGUCCGCUCACCUCCACAA
Molecule: transfer-messenger RNA, 399 nt
Filed under: Bacteroidales
Lineage: Bacteria; Pseudomonadati; Bacteroidota; Bacteroidia
Also listed under: 1 other name
Description: Cryptobacteroides sp017961015 Standard tmRNA
Rfam family: transfer-messenger RNA
About the family: Bacterial tmRNA, also known as 10Sa RNA or SsrA, is named for its dual tRNA and mRNA-like properties. Its role is to liberate the mRNA from a stalled ribosome.
Source: RNAcentral